UACAGAGGUCUCAAGCGUUGUUCGGAUUCAUUGGGCGUAAAGGGUGCGUAGGCGGCGGGGUAAGUCAGAUGUGAAAUCUCGGGGCUCAACUCCGAAACUGCAUUUGAUACUGCCUUGCUUGAGUAUUGGAGAGGAGAUUGGAAUUUACGGUGUAGCAGUGAAAUGCGUAGAUAUCGUAAGGAAGACCAGUGGCGAAGGCGAAUCUCUGGACAAUUACUGACGCUGAGGCACGAAGGCCAGGGGAGCAAACGGG
This 253-nucleotide ribosomal RNA is filed under the name uncultured bacterium. RNAcentral describes it as "partial 16S ribosomal RNA". It matches the Rfam family "Bacterial small subunit ribosomal RNA", at positions 524 to 776 of the family's 1533-position model. The record is from RNAcentral.